Molecule: ribosomal RNA, 207 nt
Filed under: uncultured bacterium
Lineage: Bacteria
Description: partial 16S ribosomal RNA
Rfam family: Bacterial small subunit ribosomal RNA
Source: RNAcentral
UGUGUAGGUGGUUGAAUCAGUUCACUGUGAAAGUUCCGGGCUUAACCUGGAAAGGCCGGUGGAUACUGUUUAACUAGAGGACAGGAGAGGGCAGAGGAAUUUCCGGUGUAGCGGUGAAAUGCGUAGAUAUCGGAAGGAACACCAGUCGCGAAGGCGUCUGUCUGGCCUGGCCCUGACACUGAGACACGAAGGCGUGGGUAGCGAACA